AACGAACGCUGGCGGCAUGCCUAACACAUGCAAGUCGAACGAGACCUUCGGGUCUAGUUGCUCACGGGUGCGUCACGCGUCGGAACCUUCCCUUAUGUUCGGAAUAACUCCCCGAAAGGGGUGCUAAUACCGGAUAAUUUCUUCUGACCAAUGAUGUAUCUCCUUUGGAUGUGCCCGCUUUGGAUUAGCUAUUUGGUAGGGUAAAAGCCUACCAAGGCGACGAUCCAUAGCUGGUCUGAGAGGAUGAUCCGACACACUGGGAGUGAGACACGGCCGAGACUUUUACGGGAGGCAGCAGUGCGGAAUAUUGGACAAUGGGCGAGAGCAUGAUGCAGUAAGGCCGCGUGAGUGAUGAAGGCGUUAGGGAUGUAAAGCACUUUUACCCGCGCUGAUAAUGACGGUACCGGGAGAAUAAGCUCCGGCUAACUCCGUG
This 433-nucleotide ribosomal RNA is filed under the name uncultured bacterium. RNAcentral's name for it is "partial 16S ribosomal RNA". It matches the Rfam family "Bacterial small subunit ribosomal RNA", at positions 29 to 507 of the family's 1533-position model. The record is from RNAcentral.